GGGAGGCACGGGGCGCAGGCCGACGCCUCGCCGGUGUAGGCCGACGCCGGCCGGUCACCCUCUCCCGUCCUCUGCCGGACCUCCCUCUCCUCUCCUCUCCCCUUUCUCUCCCUCUCAUCUUCCUAUCUCGGGGAGAAGGGAUGCGGCGGCCGGCGGCUAUCCGGACGAGCAGGAAGGAGGGAGGAGGUGCGGCACUGUCGAGGGAGGGAGGAAGGGAGGAGGCGCGGCGCUGUCGAGGGAGGGAGGGAGG
RNAcentral lists this ribosomal RNA (250 nucleotides) under Triticum aestivum (bread wheat). Its description in RNAcentral is "partial small subunit ribosomal RNA". Lineage: Eukaryota; Viridiplantae; Streptophyta; Magnoliopsida; Poales; Poaceae. The record is from RNAcentral.